Molecule: long non-coding RNA, 836 nt
Filed under: Cricetulus griseus (Chinese hamster)
Lineage: Eukaryota; Metazoa; Chordata; Mammalia; Rodentia; Cricetidae
Description: lncRNA (ENSCGRG00015034789.1)
Source: RNAcentral
UGAAAGGAAAUAAAUUUCAGAAAUACCCUUCAUGAGUUAAAGAAAUCAUGAAGUUGUAGCUAGUAUGUUAUAGUUGGGUACAAAUCCUAAAAUAAAUCUAGAUUAAGGCUUGUAGAAUAACAGUUUUGAUAACAAAUAAUUUCUGCAUCCUUAUGUGGUUUGUUCUUAGUAGCUUCAUUUUAUAGUGCUAUAUUUUAUUUAUAUGUAUUUUUUGUAUUUCAAAAUAUAGUGCUAAUUUUAUUUCAGAAAUACUAAAAAUAUAUUUCUGUUGUAGGCCUCAUACUUAUAGCUUGCAUUAGGAACUGGUUUUUGAAGAUGGAUACACACAUUCAUAUUCUCUUUACAAUUAUCAGCUUUCCAAAUUUCUACGGAUAUGAAGAUUUACACCUAGUCAUCAGUGGGACCCCAUGAAGUCAGCCAGAAAGCCUAUAUCCACUUACGUAUCUUUGUAAAAUUUGCUGGAUUUUGAAAAACCUAAAUCAGAAAGGAAAUAAGGAGAAACAUGGGAGAAAAUAAUUUGGACAAAAAUUAAGAAAGUGAAUAACACUGUGCAAUUAGGACUAGAACGUAGUUGAAGCUCGUGUGUCUGGAUAUGACUUGGGAACGAAACACUAAAGUUCAGGUAGUAAAACAUUACCAAGAUUACAGCAUUUUUUUGUUUUGUUUAUUAAAAUUCAUAUUCAAGUUGAUCCUUGAGCAGUUAUAAAUAAUAGACAAUGAAAACUACACAUAUUAUGUAUAGAUGCUAAAAGUAAAAAAGCAUAGCUUAUGUUUUUUCCAUUUUGAUUGAUCUGAAGUAGUCUUACAGUUAAGAGCCUUGGUUUUAACACCAGGAU